Molecule: small nucleolar RNA, 77 nt
Filed under: Carlito syrichta (Philippine tarsier)
Lineage: Eukaryota; Metazoa; Chordata; Mammalia; Primates; Tarsiidae
Description: Small nucleolar RNA SNORD47 (ENSTSYG00000021928.2)
Rfam family: Small nucleolar RNA SNORD47
About the family: U47 belongs to the C/D class of snoRNA which contain the C (UGAUGA) and D (CUGA) box motifs. Most of the members of the box C/D family function in directing site-specific 2'-O-methylation of substrate RNAs.
Source: Rfam by way of RNAcentral
AACCAGUGAUGUGAUGAUUCUGUCAAAUAAAUAGAAUGGUAUCACAUGUAAAACUGUUUCAGUUUGAUUCUGAGGUU